UGCGAUGCUCUAACCUCUGAGCUAAGCGGGC
RNAcentral lists this transfer RNA (31 nucleotides) under Oxalis vulcanicola. RNAcentral describes it as "partial trnT". The record is from RNAcentral. Lineage: Eukaryota; Viridiplantae; Streptophyta; Magnoliopsida; Oxalidales; Oxalidaceae.